GCCUGGUUGGCUCAGGUGGUAGAGUAUGUGACUCUUGAUCUUGGGGUUGUGAGUUCAAGUCUCACAUUGGGUG
RNAcentral lists this transfer RNA (73 nucleotides) under Felis catus (domestic cat). It matches the Rfam family "tRNA". Rfam says of the family: Transfer RNA (tRNA) molecules are approximately 80 nucleotides in length. Their secondary structure includes four short double-helical elements and three loops (D, anti-codon, and T loops). Further hydrogen bonds mediate the characteristic L-shaped molecular structure. tRNAs have two regions of fundamental functional importance: the anti-codon, which is responsible for specific mRNA codon recognition, and the 3' end, to which the tRNAs corresponding amino acid is attached (by aminoacyl-tRNA synthetases). tRNAs cope with the degeneracy of the genetic code in two manners: having more than one tRNA (with a specific anti-codon) for a particular amino acid; and 'wobble' base-pairing, i.e. permitting non-standard base-pairing at the 3rd anti-codon position. The record is from Rfam by way of RNAcentral. Lineage: Eukaryota; Metazoa; Chordata; Mammalia; Carnivora; Felidae. RNAcentral also lists the same sequence under 4 other names.